RNA transcript from Amyelois transitella, 929 nucleotides. RefSeq lists it as uncharacterized. Lineage: Eukaryota; Metazoa; Arthropoda; Insecta; Lepidoptera; Pyralidae. The record is from RefSeq and is a predicted model, not a curated record. The transcript is spliced from 6 exons.
AUGAAACUACCUUUUAACAUGAUUAUUUCAACAGUUCUGAAACCACACUUAGGUAUAACAAGACAGUUGUGCCAGCAUCCUACAUUUUUAGGAUGUAUUCAAUACACAUAUUUCUAUGGGAUACUUGGUUUUAUAUUAAGUGCUCAUCACCUCAGAACACACCUUGGAGAAACGCCUUAUGCAGAUACUAAGGCUAACGAAUUGGAAAAUUUUAUGCUUGUACAUGACUUGAAAAUCAUUGCAACGUCUAUGGGUUUAGUUCAAUACGCUUGUCUGCUUGUAGGUUGCUUUACGGUGAGUUAAACGCUCGAUAGUCCCGACGGUGUUCGUAUGAAACUCCGGGCUCUUCUCGUGGCGUUGCUAGGAGUGUCAAUGUCUGCGUGUGCGUUCGCUUCCCAACCAGUGGAGUUGGAGUUAGAAGAUGACGAUGUAGCGCAGAAACUGAGCAAUGUCAGCUUUGCUCGACGAAUUACAAAACCCACGAUUCGACUGGUGAUGGGGUACGGAAAGCUAAGUGCCUUUGUGACUGCAGCCAGCUCGUUGCUACUUCUUAUAGCUGUAAUGUCCAAGCAAUCAUGGUGGCGGCGCGGCGCACGUUGGCUCGCGGCGCCGGCGCUUCUUGUCGCAGCAUUGGAAGCAGCAUCAGACGCAGGCGACGCCAUGCUCGCCGCUGCACUUAGGGGAACAGCUGAGCCAGCGAAAGUCGCAAUUCAGACCACUGCCGCAGCCGUCUUGGUCACUGUGGAGAUACUUGUCUGGUAUUUUAUAGCUAAAUUCUUCGAGUACAACCCACCACCAAUGGUGCCCGAAAACAGAAUCGAAAAAGAAAACUGUAUGAAAACUUUAAAUCAUUAAUGUCCAACCAAAAUAUACAUAAUUAUUUAGAUAUUAUUUAUACAAUAUACACAUCUAAACCCUCUUGACGAUUA